GGGGGGAGCAAGCGUUGUUCGGAAUCACUGGGCGUAAAGGGCGUGUAGGCGGUUUGGUAAGUGGGAUGUGAAAUGCCCCGGCUUACCCGGGGACCGGCAUCCCAAACUGCCAAGCUUGAGUAUGGGAGAGGAUGUGGGAAUUCCUGGUGUAGCGGUGAAGUGCGUAGAUAUCAGGAGGAACACCGGUGGCGAAGGCGCACAUCUGGCCCAAUACUGACGCUGAGGCGCGAAAGCUAGGGGAGCAAACGGGAUUAGAUACCCCGGUAGUCCUAGCCGUAAACGGUGAUCACUAGGUGUUGGAGGCAUCGACCCCUCCAGUGCCGCAGCUAACGCAUUAAGUGAUCCGCCUGGGGAGUACGGCCGCAAGGUUG
RNAcentral lists this ribosomal RNA (371 nucleotides) under uncultured bacterium. Its description in RNAcentral is "bacterial SSU rRNA". It matches the Rfam family "Bacterial small subunit ribosomal RNA", at positions 527 to 896 of the family's 1533-position model. The record is from RNAcentral.